GACGAACGCUGGCGGCGUGCUUAACACAUGCAAGUCGAACGGAAAGGCCCUGCUUUUGUGGGGUGCUCGAGUGGCGAACGGGUGAGUAACACGUGAGUAACCUGCCCUUGACUUUGGGAUAACUUCAGGAAACUGGGGCUAAUACCGGCUAGGAGCUCCUGCUGCAUGGUGGGGGUUGGAAAGUUUCGGCGGUUGGGGAUGGACUCGCGGCUUAUCAGCUUGUUGGUGGGGUAGUGGCUGACCAAGGCUUUGACGGGUAGCCGGCCUGAGAGGGCGACCGGCCACAUUGGGACUGAGAUACGGCCCAGACUCCUACGGUAGGCAGCAGUGGGGAAUAUUGCACAAUGGGCGGAAGCCUGAUGCAGCAACGCAGCGUGCGGGAUGACGGCCUUCGGGUUGUAAACCGCUUUCGCCUGUGACGAAGCGUGAGUGACGGUAAUGGGUAAAGAAGCACCGGCUAACUACGUG
This 468-nucleotide ribosomal RNA is filed under the name uncultured bacterium. RNAcentral describes it as "partial 16S ribosomal RNA". It matches the Rfam family "Bacterial small subunit ribosomal RNA", at positions 28 to 507 of the family's 1533-position model. The record is from RNAcentral.